This is a long non-coding RNA of Cygnus olor (mute swan), 2184 nucleotides long. RefSeq lists it as uncharacterized. Lineage: Eukaryota; Metazoa; Chordata; Aves; Anseriformes; Anatidae. The transcript has 3 exons. The record is from RefSeq and is a predicted model, not a curated record.
AUUUAGGGUAUCCCGUACCGCCCCACUGAAGAGAUGCACCAAUACACCAGGGUGAUGCAUAGGAGCAAAAACCUAAAAACCUAAAAAUCUCCUUGGUUGUGCCUCUGUCAGCCCCAAGCCAGCUUCCAAGCUUCUCGCUUCUCCCUCUGGAAGGAAAAUGGCAUCAGCCCGUCCUUGGGCAAUGAGCCCCUCAGUCUGAGGUGUUCCCAGACAGGCUCCAGCAGCAGUUAAAUUGUCAUGAGGAGGGAAAUAACAACCCUCACCCCUUUCCUGGUCAGCCCCAGUUGUAAUCGCGUUGUCCCCAUCUGUGCUCAGCCCUGCUGCCAUCCCCAGCAGCUCUGCUGAGGUUGCCAUAGUGAUCUCAGGCUCUGCGGCCUGACGCGAGGCUUCGGGGUCCGCAGGGCAAUGGGACCGCGAUGCGAGGCUUUGGGGGCUGUCCUACGGCUGUUUUUGGUGUAGAAGGAGAAGAAGAUAGAGCGAGGAAAUCACACAUAACAGAUGAAUCCAACAGUCAGUGGGUGAGGUAGUCCUUCUCUGGAUGGAUGUGGGGAAUCCAUCUGUUGGUACCGAUGCUCGGAGAAGGAGGCAGCCUGUGGGGCAGUAGGAAAAGGCUCUGCGACCAGAGCUGCCACACGAUGAGCCACAGAGAUGGCAUCCUUAGCAGCUCUGAUGUGAUCCUGAGCCCAGUUAAAGCAGUGUCCCAAGCAGCCAGAUGCUGGCACAUUUUUCCAGAUCUCAGAAUAGCUGACAAGGGUGGCUCCUUCAGGGAAUUUGCACAUGAUAGUAAACACGAGGCACAGCUUCUGCUCUUCAUAUCUUUGCUGCUCUUUUCUGCUCCUUUGUGUUUUAUUUUCAAGGAAAGGCCAGAGCCCAGCACAACAGAAGCUCCAGUCUAUAAAAACUUCAUUUUCCCACAAAAAGGACAAUGCCUAUGUUAAAUGCCUCUCUAAAGCCUGCCAAACAGUAACGUUUCUUACAAGAACUCUGUAGCUCUUUGGAAAGGCACUAAGAGAGACUGUUAAAAUUAAACUUCGUAUUUCAAAUGCUUCCAUUCGUGGCUACAUUUUUUUUUCCUUAUACUCUUAAUGAGAGCUUUAAAUUAUUCUGAAGAGUAGUUUUCUGCCAUCAGAGCAAGCAGGCUGUUUCUUUAUAUGGCACCCUGAAUCUCGUAAAGCAGUUUCACACAAGACAGUGACAGCCAUGCCCGCACCUCACGUUAUCAGUGCUCAGCUUCCUAGCCACAAUUAAAAGCAGGAUUUGACCUUAAUCACUGAUACUUAAAUAGGAGAAUUAUCAGUCCUUCAGUUAUUGGUGAUCCUCCGUGAUUAUUUCCCUGAAGAAAGAUAAAGCAGCCUCAUCGAAGAUAAGAAUCUUUGCGUGUUAAUACUUUUGUGGGAAUAACCAUGGUGUGGAGGGGUUGAAACUUCUCUGCAGGAUCUCCUGUGCUGGGAGCUGCCAGCGCCAGCAGGGACCGUGGUGGAGCUCAGCUGGAGGGAAUGACUUCAUCCUAGCCAAAAUGCACAUCUACAUGUGCAUAUGUGCAGCUCUGUGUGUGUGUUUUCAGGGAAAGGCACUGCUCCCCGUACUGCUCUGACACCCGGAGUGCCCCCACGUAGCAUAACUGCAGCUACGGAAUGGCAGAUAACUGCCCGUGUCCCCAAAAUGAGAGUCUUCUUUUAACACAUACAAAAUAAUGCAAGUUAAAAGAGACUUGCUAAUAACGCACAGCUCCUGUUUGGGGUUUGCUUUUACGCAGUGCAGGGGUAGAGACGGUUAAAUGUACCCGUCAGCCCAGCAGGGCUGGGUCUGCAGCGUCUCAGUAGCGUACCCCCGAACAAUGGUGCGCAUAUUUCGCUCCUGCCAACGCGUUCCGUGUUUUUCAGCAGAAAAAUGGCUGAGCACAGGGUGAUGUCACCGCAAAGCAGAAAUAAAACCCAUCUGUACGGUCGUGUUAGCAUCCUCAGUGACCUGGUACCGCAGACCAAAUCCUCGCCCGCAACAACCCGGAUUAGCUCUGUUGAUUACACAGAGCUGCCCAGCCCCGCGCCGGAGAGCCUCAGGGCUGAACCCAGAAGGUGCGGUGUUUCCAUGGCAAUUUUGCUGCACGUAGUUUAUUCCAAAUAGUCUCCGAAGGGCCCACAGCUCCUUCCAAUGAUAUUCCAGGCUGUUUUUUCUGCCCCCGGU